This is a long non-coding RNA of Panicum virgatum (switchgrass), 487 nucleotides long. RefSeq lists it as uncharacterized. The transcript has 2 exons. Lineage: Eukaryota; Viridiplantae; Streptophyta; Magnoliopsida; Poales; Poaceae. The record is from RefSeq and is a predicted model, not a curated record.
AGAAUACGAACCCGCCGGACGCAAGACACAUAAACCGUGUGGAAGAGUAGGAGCUGCACGCAGUAGCAGUUUAGCAGAUGUGAUGUAAUCACACCACACAGCAGCGUGGAACAGACAACACAAGACUAUUCCUUGUUGAAGGACUCGUCCUCGGGCAGAACUUCGAUACCAAGCAAAGAGCGCCUUCCUUGUAAGAGUCAAUUCGCAACUGCUUGAUUUCCCAGAUAGACAAAUACGUGUUUUACAAUACACACCAGUGUGAUCUCAUGGCACCUCCAGGAAGCCGAAAGUACUGGUGCUACAAAUGGCUUCUACAUGGGCUGAAAAACAAGAACAAAACUAUACACUCCUCAGAAGGACGACUUCCAUCUUCAACCAAAAUUAGUUAGGCAAACGUGUGGUUUCAGCUUGCAUUUGUCUGCUUCAAAGAUUACGUGUACCAAGACCAUCACAACAGCAAUAAUUGACCUGUUUUGCUAGGCUCUAA